This 253-nucleotide ribosomal RNA is filed under the name uncultured bacterium. RNAcentral's name for it is "partial 16S ribosomal RNA". It matches the Rfam family "Bacterial small subunit ribosomal RNA", at positions 524 to 776 of the family's 1533-position model. The record is from RNAcentral.
UACAGAGGGUGCAAGCGUUAAUCGGAAUUACUGGGCGUAAAGCGUGCGUAGACGGUUACAUAAGUCGGGUGUGAAAGCCCCGGGCUCAACCUGGGAAUUGCAUUCGAGACUGCGUAGCUAGGGUGCGGAAGAGGGAAGCGGAAUUUCCGGUGUAGCGGUGAAAUGCGUAGAUAUCGGAAGGAACACCAGUGGCGAAAGCGGCCUCCUGGUCCAGCACCGACGUUCAGGCACGAAAGCGUGGGGAGCAAACAGG